UCGAAAGUGGCGUGGCAUCGAGCACAGCGUCGUUUUUCUUUGGUGCUUUCAUAAUCGCCUCUGCACUCCUCUGCCUUGGCAAGCGCGAGUGUAUACAGUCGGCGGGCAUUCUUCAUAGCAGGCAGGCCGAUACACUCGUUGAUUUACUCAGCUCGUCCGCCCGGCAACACGUGUGCGCGCACACUGUGUGAACGGGCAGCGGCGACCCGAAGAACUGUUGCCUGCUUUCAAGUCCGCGGCACAAAGAGGCGAAAAGCGGGUUUGUCGGCAUCACAUGAACCCGUCGUCAAAACGGCACGCGUACGAGCCGCUGCCGCAGCAGCAGCAGCAGCAGCACCCCACAAACCCGCCGCCUGCCUAUCAGCAUCACCGAGUAAGCACAGGCACUGGUCGCGAAAGCCCUGCCCUUCCACAGCUCUCGCCGAACUCGAUGUCUGCGGUGACCAACAUCGCCGAGCCCUCCUCAAGCCCCGCCCUCAUCUCCACCUCGGCAGCGUCGUCGAAUCUGGUGCCCAUCUUCCAAGGGCGGGAGGAUUCUGCAGCAGCUUCAAGACGUGGCGGCGACGGCAAUUCUGAAGUGCAUCCUCAUCCCGCCGAGGUAAGCGAAAGCUACCCUGGGGCGUCCACCGCGGCGGCGCAGUCCAUGGCGCUGGCGGUGGUGCCCUUCACGGGCACUAGCGGCGUCGGCGUCGGCGUCAGCGCACCGCAACGUUGUGACCCGAGAGUGGGCGGUGCCGACCAAGAAGGCAAGAACACGGGUGUUGGUGGUGAUGACGUUGGCUACUACUCUGGGCCCUCCCCGUAUGGCAAGCUGGCCCCUUUGUCGCUGAGCACGGAACGAGUGUGUCCGCAUUGCCUUCGGCCGUACGACGUCUUCGACGACGGCGAAGGCGUCUUCGACCCGGCGACGUUCUUCCGCGUGGAUGCGACGACGCGGUCAUCGUCGAUACAGCCCUCAUCAAGCCAUCCGAAACUGCUCCCGCCGCCCUCGCAUGAGGGGGAUGAACAGCAGAAGCAGCAACCAUCGACGUCCCCGCGCUUAUACACUGAGGGCGCAGGGGAUGGUGGCGCUGCUGCUGGGCAGCUGUUGUGCAGCAGGAGCAGCACGGCCGCUGGGCUCGAUGAUAGCAGCAGUGAUGGCACCAACCGCAGCGGCAACUACAUCACGGCCGUACAUCCACCAGCUGCUGCAUUCACCUCGCACUACUUUCGUGCGCUGCCCCCACCCUCGUUCAUCAUAGCGGCGGGAGCCCGCGGUGCAUCGGCACCGCUUGCCAUUGAGGACUACCGUCCAUCGCCGCUAAUCGGUAGCCCGAGAGACGAGAAGGUGGAAGCGAGACAGCCGUUUGCACUGGCACCCGCGCUUGCCAGUGACAACGGUGGUGGAGGUGGUAACUCGAGUGGGACGCUGGUGUGCAAAGUAGCUGCCGUGCCGCACUACUCCUACGUGUGGCCCAUCACCUGCACAGGGAUGCGCUCGCAGGUGCGACUGCUGCAGCAGGGUGACAGCAGCGAGAAGACGGCGGCAGAGAUGGAGGGCGGGAAAGAGGAGUCGCCGUCGUGCGAGAGCGGCUCGCCCGUGUGCUCCCCCACCGCUGCGACGCCGUCGCCGAACAAUGGCUACUACCGUCAUUACUUCAAGGAGCUCCGUCAGCUGGGUCGCGGCACCUACGGAGGAGUCUACCUCUGUCGCCACGUUAUGUGUGGCGUUAACCUCGGCGAGUUCGCUCUUAAGAAGAUUCCAGUCGGCGACAAGGUCACCUACCUGCAGUCGGUGCUGCGUGAGGUGCGCAUUCUCGAGGAGGUGCGACGGCACCCCAACGUGGUCGAGUACAAGCACAGCUGGGUGGAGGAGGCACAGCUCGCCGACUUUGGUCCGCCCGUGCGCUGUCUCUUCAUCUUGAUGGAGUACGCGUCCGCUGGCUCGCUUGACACGUAUCUGGAGCGCUACGGCAACAAUCUCUCCACCCUCGCCGUGUGGUACUUCUUCCUCAGCUCCGUGGCCGGCACGGCGCACCUUCAUGAGAAGCACAUCUUGCACCGCGACCUAAAGCCACAGAACCUGUUGCUGGCCGCGACGAAGGACCGUCCGCCACGGGUGCUGGUCAGCGACUUUGGCACGGCGGCGCUGCUGGAUGACAUCUUGUACGACCGGUCCGGUGGCACGGGCACGCUCGAGUACAUGGCGCCGGAGCUCCUCGAGACGACCGCCUCUCCACGCGGCGCCAACGAGCGGUACGUGAACCAUCACACGAUGGCCUCCGACGUGUGGUCGCUGGGGAUGGUGCUGCACUACCUCGCCUUCGACGGCGCGCUGCCGGAGCGACACGAGGACGGCAGUGUCAACCUUGACAAGGCACGCCACUCGGCCAACGCCAGGCCGCCUGAAAUGCUCAGACUGCUGGAGGCCAUGCUGCAGCUUGAUCCCGCAAAGCGGCCGCGCUGCUGCGACAUCCUCGCAUCCCCGAUGGUGCAGUCCAUCAUGCGCAUCUUCAACAAAGAUGACCAUAGCCAGUGGGACCUCUCCAUCCAGCGGCAGCAGCAGCUCUCGGCUACCUCGCCGUCUGCGAUUCUCCCGUUGGAGCGUCCCCCUCGCCCACCGGUGCCGGCGCCAGCGCCCAGAAGUGCACCACUCAAUGCUCUGGAGGCCCACAGCAUCGAUGACAGCAGCUCGCCCCGCGGCGCUCGCAGCCGCAACGCUAUCGCCGCCAUCUCCACCUCUUCACAGGGACGCGGCGUGCGGGCCGACAGUACGAAUCUGGAGGACAAGAGCAACACACUUCAAAGCAGCCGUGUCGAGCUCCUCUCAGCGUCGACGUUGGUGGAUCUGUCAACGGCGAUGGCGCGUGCCGGGAGCAGCAGCAGCAGCAACGGUAGCCCCUUGGCAAUGAAGUUGCCUCCGCCGCGCCCAUCUACUGUGAUCUCCCAGCAUGGCCGACAGCAGCAGCAACGCGCGCAUGUGGUGGCCGGGUUACCAAAGACUCUAGCCUCCUCCAACACCUUCCAGUUUUCAGACUCGCCAUCGCCGCGCAGGGUCAAUGUCGGCGUGCAAACCAAUCCGGUGGUGAUAGUGGAGAAGCAGCAACGGCACGCAUAAGGGGGGAGUAGCGAGUAGUAUAGUAUGGAAGUGAAAGAGGACCAGGACCGCUGCGACCGAUGCAUCGUGGUUGGCCCCCUCCCCUCCCUCCUUCAUUAGCAUCUCCCCUCGCAAAUGUGUGUGAGAGCAUGUUCAUGUGUGUGUCCCCAUCACUCGCUUUCUGCCCACAUGCCCUCGCUCUCUCCUCCUUCCUCCUUCCCUUUCUGGUCUCUUCGCCAUUCACGUCCAUUAUUUCCGCCCUCCCCUUCCC
RNAcentral lists this unclassified non-coding RNA (3347 nucleotides) under Leishmania donovani. Its description in RNAcentral is "gene:LdHU3.25.1960(CDS-product:protein_kinase_put ative)". The record is from RNAcentral. Lineage: Eukaryota; Euglenozoa; Kinetoplastea; Trypanosomatida; Trypanosomatidae.